GGCCUGUAGCUCAGUCGGUAGAGCGCCGGUCUCCAAAACCGGAGGUGGCAGGUUCAAGACCUGCACAACCCG
Molecule: transfer RNA, 72 nt
Filed under: Leucobacter komagatae
Lineage: Bacteria; Bacillati; Actinomycetota; Actinomycetes; Micrococcales; Microbacteriaceae
Rfam family: tRNA
About the family: Transfer RNA (tRNA) molecules are approximately 80 nucleotides in length. Their secondary structure includes four short double-helical elements and three loops (D, anti-codon, and T loops). Further hydrogen bonds mediate the characteristic L-shaped molecular structure. tRNAs have two regions of fundamental functional importance: the anti-codon, which is responsible for specific mRNA codon recognition, and the 3' end, to which the tRNAs corresponding amino acid is attached (by aminoacyl-tRNA synthetases). tRNAs cope with the degeneracy of the genetic code in two manners: having more than one tRNA (with a specific anti-codon) for a particular amino acid; and 'wobble' base-pairing, i.e. permitting non-standard base-pairing at the 3rd anti-codon position.
Source: Rfam by way of RNAcentral